GGUCGGAUAAGGCGGUUACGCCGCAUCCGACAUCUAACGCCCAAGCCGGUUGCCUGAUGCGACGCUGGCGCGUCUUAUCAGGCC
This is a non-coding RNA of Escherichia coli str. K-12 substr. MG1655, 84 nucleotides long. The record is from Rfam. NCBI's taxonomy places the organism in Bacteria, Pseudomonadati, Pseudomonadota, Gammaproteobacteria, Enterobacterales, Enterobacteriaceae.